RNAcentral lists this long non-coding RNA (3010 nucleotides) under Mus pahari (shrew mouse). Its description in RNAcentral is "predicted gene 43189 (MGP_PahariEiJ_G0032984.1)". Lineage: Eukaryota; Metazoa; Chordata; Mammalia; Rodentia; Muridae. The record is from RNAcentral.
UUUUUUUUUGCUUUUCUCAAAAGUUAUGAGUAUGUGAGUUUAAGUGCUCAUAUGUGUAUGUGUGCGCAUGCAUAUGUGUGCACAAGCAUGUGUGUUCAAACACCAGGUGUCAUCCUUAAUCUCUCUCUACCCUAUCUGUUGAGAUGGAAGCGUUCACUGAACAUGGAGCUUUCUGAUUGGCUAGACUAGCUUAGUGACAAGCCCCAGUACUGCUCCUGUAUACAACAUAUCAGGAUUUUUCUUGAUUAAUUAAGCUAAAGGCCUAUUGAUUUGCUUUGCCAUUUCAAAUAUUCCUUCUGUUUCAUUGUUCCUUUUAUUGUUAUAUUCUCUACUCUGUUUAUUUCUACUCUGCUGUUUGUUCUUUCUUUCCCUCCAGUACCUUCGACUUGGUUCUUUCCUAGGUCCUUGAGUUGCAUCAUUAAGUUGUUUAUUCAUAAUCUGUUGGAUGUAGGCACAUUGCCAUAAGCUCCCUUCGAGGUGUUAUUUUUGCUUUAUCUCAUAGGUUUUGUAUGUAACCAUACCAUUGAUAUUAAGAUUGUUGUCCAGAAACAGUAGCUGUUAGGUGGAAUAUGCUGUCAACCUCUGUUCAAUUUGCUUGGUCUAUAGUGCAGACGAACUGAAUUAUUUGUUGACUUUCUGUCUCAAUGAUCUGUCUAUUGAUGAGAGUGAUGGUGGUGAAGUCCCCAGCUAUUAUUGUAUAAAAAUCUGUUUUUCCAGCAUAUUUGUACUCUUUCUUUACAUAGUUCAUGUUCCUACAUUGGGUGUAUAUAUAUUUAUAAUUAUUUCCUUUUGUUGAAUUAAUCCAUCUAGCAUUAGACAAUAACUUUCUGCAUCUUUUUCUACAGUCUUUAUUUACAGCGUUAUAACUACUCCUGCUUGCUUUUGGGUUCUACUUCUGUAUCUUUUUCCAUCCCAUCACUGUUGGUUUAUGGUGUCUUCAGUGCCAUAAUGAGUUUAUUAUAGAGAAUGUAUCACCAUGCUUUAGUGUAUCCAGUCGGCCUGUAGCUUUUAAUUGAGAGGUUGAAUAUGUAUGUCUUUCUAUUACAUGUUUUGCCAGUCAUUUAUAUGACCUGUGUUCCUGCCUUUUUUUUUUCAUUGCUGAAAUUUAAUGGUUUUCUAUUCAGAUAGGUUUUUCUUUCUCCUCUUUUGCGCAUCUGCUAGAGCACUAUUGAGUUCUACAUUUGGUGAUGCUUUAGUGGCAUAGAAUAUAGGAGUUGCAGUAUUACACACAUAUUUCAUGCAUCUCUCUUAAGCAAGGCAAAAUCGCUAGCAUUCUGGACACAGUGGUUUGAGGAUGAAAAUGCUUAUCAGUUUCUAUAGAUAAUAUAGGAACAGGGUCACCCCAUGGACCAAGUUAUGCAUGGAUCACCAUGCUCCUCAGUAGAGAGGAUGCUGCUAUCUGUAUCUGGAGCUUGCAUAGGAGCUGAGCUAUAAGCAAACAUAGAUGUGGUAUCUACAAGAGAUGGAAGGCCAUGAUGACACCAUAGACUCAAGAAUAUGUUGUUACUCUGCCCUUCAGAGACUUGGUUGGUGGCUUUCUGAGAUAAGCAUAUCAACUAAUUCUUGAGACUGCAGCAGGAUGUCCAGGACUACUUAGAGUCUCAGAGAUAGCUUCUGUGAACUAAGCUAAUCAGGGAUAGAAGCCUUAGUGGGCAAGCUAUGCAGGUAUGAUUGCUUAUUAUUUGCUCUUCAUGUGUUUCCUGGGAAGUAGAAAAUGGAUUUUCUUCAGACUUAAUUGUUCAACAUAGGCUGCCCAGAUGAUUUCUAAGCAGAGACAUCUAUAUAUUUUACAGAAGUGAAUUGGAAAAUCUGAUAAAAGCAGUUACUUGGUUGCUUUAUGGACCCUAAGAUGAGUAGAGUUACAAAAUGACCCUAUGAAGCAGGAGUGGGAUGGACUAGGCUCCUCUUUAGGGCAGUUUGGUAGUGUAGUAAAUAGGUAGUUACCCAACCCUGACUUGGGAGCUGUGAAGGCUGUAGACACUCUAUCAGCAAGCAGUAUGGUGCAAGAGAGGACGACUGGUUACUUUUUCCCACUGAGCAAACCCCUCUUGUUUCAGCUGGCCUUGAGAAUAAGAGGGCAGGAGGAUAGAUGCUAGUCCCUUCUUUCUAAGGUCACCACAUGUUUCCAUGUUCUUCAAUAUUUUUUCCACAUCUCACUUUACUCCAGUACUCCAUGCAAUAUGCUGGUGAAAUAGCUGUUGUUUUCCUUGAUAGAGAGGAAAGAAAACUAGACACUGCUCAUCAGCCAUCUUCCUGACAUCACCUUCUCAGUAGAAAUAGUAAUUUAUUUAGCUUAUGAUAAACUAUUCCAUUUGUAACUUCCAGGAUCAUCAAUAAAAAAAGUAGAGAAGGAAUAGAGUAAAUAUAUAUAUGGAAAUAAUAGAUGAGAGAAUAUAUUAUCAAGUAAAAACUAGAUGAUAGACUUCAUCAUAACUGUAUUUGUAAUUACAAUAAAUAUAAACAGACUAAAUACUCUAAUACUAAUACUAAUACACUACUAUUAUCAGGCUUUUUAAAUAUUUUCAAAGACUCUACUGUAUAAGUUUUAUAAAUGAUAAAUGUUGCCAGAUGUGAUAGACCACACCUGCUGUCUCAUUGUUCUAUUGCUGUGAAGAGACACCAUGACAAACUCUUAUAAGGCAAAGAUUUAAUUUGGGCUGAUUAUAGUUUUGGAGUUUUAGUCCAUCAUCAUGAUGGAGAUCAUGGCAGCACAUAGGCAGACACAGUGCUAGAGAAGUAGCUGAGAGUUUUACAUCUAGAUCAGCUGGUAUCAGGAAAAGAGAGACACUGGGACUGGCUUGGGCUUUUGAAAUCCCAAAGCCCACCCUCAGUGACAUACUUCCUUCAACAAGGUUACACCUACUUCAACAAGGCCACACCUCCUAAUCCCUCUCAAGCAGUGCCACUCCCUAGCCGCCAAGCAUUCAGAUAUAUGAGUCUACAGGGGCCAUUCUUAUUCAAGCCACCACUCCUGCAAUCCCAAUACUCAGGAGUGAAGUCAAGAGAAUUC